UGCAUGUCUCCGCGCUGUCGGCGUUUUGCCCGGCCUGGAUUGCUCCGUUUCCCCUCGAAGGACACACUUUACUGGCGCUGCAGAACCAAACCGAGACAGGCAGCGGGUCUGAGCUGGACCAGAAUGCGGAGGAGGAGGAGAGCUUUUGAUCGGACCUGAGCAGGAGACACGAACGGGAUCAGGAGACACGAACGGGAUCAGGAGACACGAACGGGAUCAGGAGACACGAACGGGAUCAGGAGACACGAACGGGAUCAGGAGACACGAAGCCCGCAGGACGGGAUGGAAGGCGGGGACGCCGGUUUGUGAGGAGGACGAGUCCGAAAGGAAGGACUGUGGGAUGUGAGGUGGAUCGGACCGCUGCUUGCUUUGCUCGCUGUUCGUAAAUCAGCCAGAGUCUCAGUUCUGAGGAGGUGGGCCAAGUCCCGGGAUAGCAGAGGAAGCGAGCAAUGGAUCGUGGUGGUGAUGUGGGGACCUGGAGCUCCCCCAGUCGGCUCACAGCGCAGCAGUUCCUCUGAAGCAGAGCUGCUACCUGUUGAGAUGCUGUAAACGGAAACACAGUGAAGGGGUUCAUGCUUAUAAAAUUGAUCUGCUCAGUGGUGACAAUUCUCUGCAAAACCAUAAAAGAGCCCAAGAUGUCUGUUGUCUUUUGUGACAACUUCUUUACAAGUUUCAACUUGGUUCAGUACCUGCACACUGCCUUGGCGUCAAGUGCAUCGGCACCGUACAACCGAACCGCACUGGUGGAGCUCCAUUGAUGAGCGUGGGGCCUGUGACUUUAGGGCUGCUGAAGGGGUUCUUGCAGUGAAGUGGUUCAAUAACAAAUGUGUUAACUUGCCUGUGGGAUCAUGGGCUUUUCAACUGUGAAACGCUGGAGCAAAGAGUCCCACGCAAAGAUCACCAUCCCGUGCCCAUCACCUAA
Long non-coding RNA from Poeciliopsis prolifica (blackstripe livebearer), 922 nucleotides. RefSeq lists it as uncharacterized. The record is from RefSeq and is a predicted model, not a curated record. The transcript has 3 exons. Lineage: Eukaryota; Metazoa; Chordata; Actinopteri; Cyprinodontiformes; Poeciliidae.